UAUCUUUUCUUUAUUAUGUCUAUUUUGUAUUACUUUAUUGCUUAAUUUCCUGAGAAAUGAUUGCAUUUGAUAUGGUCUACAAGUUUUCAGUGUUGGUCCUGAGGAUGCUGCAGUUGUUGGUAAUCAACUGUCAGAAGAAGAGAAAACUACUCUUCAGACUCAACUGAGAGGAUACGAAGCAACACUGAGCAAUUCCCCAAGAGAUCCAACUGCUCUUGAGGGAGCUGCUGUAACCUUGGCUGAGUUAGGAGAAUAUACCCGAGCGGUCUCUUUGCUUGAGAACUUGACAAAGGAGAAGCCAAGUGACCCUGAUGUUUUUCGUUUGCUUGGAGAAGUUAAGUAUAAACUAAAGGAUUAUGAGGGAAGCGCUAAUGCAUAUGAAAGUGCUGCAAAGGUGUCUAAGUAUCUCAGUUUUGAAGUUCUACGAGGCCGAGCAAAUGCACUACUUGCUGCUAAGAAACCAGAUGAGGCUGUACGGUUCCUUGUUGCCACCCGAGAAGGCCUAGCCAAGGAAAACUCGAA
This is a long non-coding RNA of Humulus lupulus (European hop), 522 nucleotides long. RefSeq lists it as uncharacterized. The record is from RefSeq and is a predicted model, not a curated record. The transcript has 6 exons. Lineage: Eukaryota; Viridiplantae; Streptophyta; Magnoliopsida; Rosales; Cannabaceae.